RNAcentral lists this ribosomal RNA (714 nucleotides) under Idris semiflavus. RNAcentral's name for it is "partial large subunit ribosomal RNA". It matches the Rfam family "Eukaryotic large subunit ribosomal RNA", at positions 386 to 875 of the family's 3401-position model. Lineage: Eukaryota; Metazoa; Arthropoda; Insecta; Hymenoptera; Scelionidae. The record is from RNAcentral.
ACCUGAGAACCCGAAAGAUCGAAUGAGGAGAUUCAUCGUCAGCGUGAUUAGUUUCCAUGCGUUUCGCGAUGAAGAUGGAAUUUAUUUUAAAUUCACGCAUUCGCUGUGGUAUAUCUGAUUAUGUCGGCGUGCACUUCUCCUCUAGUAGAACGUUGCGACCCGCUGGGUGUUGGCUUAAGGACCAAGCUGUAGACUGUUUUUGUUCGUUUACGCGUUCAUUGACAGACACUUGUGUUUCUGGCUGACUGCUCGGCGGUACACACAAGGUAUUGAGCCGCACAUUUUGAAUGCGUUCAGACUCGUUUACAAGCUAAUUAUUGAAUAACUUGAGGGUGCGGACCUAGUGCCGUCCUUAAGGGUAGUUGGCUGUUGGUUGACGAUGUUCUCGAACUGGCUAAAACUGAAUUAACAAUACCGGUCAGCGACGCUAUUGCUUUGGGUACUUUCAGGACCCGUCUUGAAACACGGACCAAGGAGUCUAACAUGUGCGCGAGUCAUUGGGAUAUAUUAAACCUAAAGGCGCAUUGAAAGAGAAGAUCGACCUUGUGUUGAUUGAGGGAGGAUAAGUAAUUCUUAAAAAAUUGCUUCGCACUCCCGGGGUGUCUCUUAAAGUCAUUGCGACUUGAGGCGCACCCAGAGCGUACACGUUGGGACCCGAAAGAUGGUGAACUAUGCCUGGUCAGGAUGAAGUCAGGGGAAACCCUGAUGGAGGUC